This 324-nucleotide ribosomal RNA is filed under the name uncultured eukaryote. Its description in RNAcentral is "partial 18S ribosomal RNA". It matches the Rfam family "Eukaryotic small subunit ribosomal RNA", at positions 1470 to 1796 of the family's 1831-position model. The record is from RNAcentral.
CCCUUAGAUGUUCUGGGCUGCACGCGCGCUACACUGAUGCGAUCAACAAGUUUUUCCUAUGUCGAUAGACACGGGUAAUCUUUUGAACUCGCAUCGUGAUGGGGAUAGAUUAUUGUAAUUAUUAAUCUUCAACGAGGAAUUCCUAGUAGGUGCAAAUCAUCAGUUUGCAUCGAUUACGUCCCUGCCCUUUGUACACACCGCCCGUCGCUGCUACCGAUUGGUUGAUCUGGUGAAUUAUUCGGACUGCCGGCUGAAGGGGUUUCCUCAUCUGCCGGCGGAAAGUCUUGUUAACCCUAUCAACUAGAGGAAGCAGAAGUCGUAACA